RNAcentral lists this ribosomal RNA (253 nucleotides) under uncultured bacterium. Its description in RNAcentral is "partial 16S ribosomal RNA". It matches the Rfam family "Bacterial small subunit ribosomal RNA", at positions 524 to 776 of the family's 1533-position model. The record is from RNAcentral.
UACGUAGGCAGCAAGCGUUGUUCGGAGUUACUGGGCGUAAAGGGUGUGUAGGCGGUUCUUUAAGUUUGCUGUGAAAUCUCCCGGCUUAACCGGGAGGGUGCGGUGAAUACUGAGGGACUAGAGUACGGGAGAGGAAAGUGGAAUUCCUGGUGUAGCGGUGAAAUGCGUAGAUAUCAGGAGGAACACCGGUGGUGUAGACGGCUCUCUGGACCGUAACUGACGCUGAGGCACGAAAGCGUGGGUAGCAAACAGG